UGAGGAAUAUUGGUCAAUGGGCGAGAGCCUGAACCAGCCAAGUAGCGUGCAGGAUGACGGCCCUAUGGGUUGUAAACUGCUUUUACGCGGGGAUAAAGUGCGUGACGUGUCGCGCAUCGCAGGUACCGCGUGAAUAAGGACCGGCUAAUUCCGUGCCAGCAGCCGCGGUAAUACGGAAGGUCCGGGCGUUAUCCGGAUUUAUUGGGUUUAAAGGGAGCGCAGGCCGCCCGAUAAGCGUGUUGUGAAAUGUACCGGCUCAACCGGUGAGUUGCAGCGCGAACUGUCAGGCUUGAGUGCACGGUAAGCAGGCGGAAUUCAUGGUGUAGCGGUGAAAUGCUUAGAUAUCAUGAAGAACUCCGAUUGCGAAGGCAGCUUACGGGAGCGCAACUGACGCUGAAGCUCGAAGGUGCGGGUAUCGAACAGG
This 424-nucleotide ribosomal RNA is filed under the name Verrucomicrobiota bacterium. RNAcentral's name for it is "Verrucomicrobia bacterium partial 16S ribosomal RNA". It matches the Rfam family "Bacterial small subunit ribosomal RNA", at positions 355 to 776 of the family's 1533-position model. Lineage: Bacteria; Pseudomonadati; Verrucomicrobiota. The record is from RNAcentral.